GACGAACGCUGGCGGCGUGCCUAAUACAUGCAAGUUGAGCGAUGAAGAUUGGUGCUUGCACCAAUUUGAAGAGCAGCGAACGGGUGAGUAACGCGUGGGGAAUCUGCCUUUGAGCGGGGGACAACAUUUGGAAACGAUUGCUAAUACCGCAUAACAACUUUAAACAUAAGUUUUAAGUUUGAAAGAUGCAAUUGCAUCACUCAAAGAUGAUCCCGCGUUGUAUUAGCUAGUUGGUGAGGUAAAGGCUCACCAAGGCGAUGAUACAUAGCCGACCUGAGAGGGUGAUCGGCCACAUUGGGACUGAGACACGGCCCAAACUCCUACGGGAGGCAGCAGUAGGGAAUCUUCGGCAAUGGACGAAAGUCUGACCGAGCAACGCCGCGUGAGUGAAGAAGGUUUUCGGAUCGUAAAACUCUGUUGGUAGAGAAGAACGUUGGUGAGAGUGGAAAGCUCAUCAAGUGACGGUAACUACCCAGAAAGGGACGGCUAACUACGUG
This 497-nucleotide ribosomal RNA is filed under the name uncultured bacterium. RNAcentral describes it as "partial 16S ribosomal RNA". It matches the Rfam family "Bacterial small subunit ribosomal RNA", at positions 28 to 507 of the family's 1533-position model. The record is from RNAcentral.